CGUCUGAUCUUUAUUCUUUGUACGUUUAUUACGUUUUCAUCCUUCCAUCCUUCCAGGAGUUCUUCUUCGGUCAAAUCCAUCAAGUCGAUGUCAGAAAUUACGCCUUUGGCCGUAUUCAUGGUUCGGUGUGCUGUUACACUGACGGGGAUGUCUCCAAGUUGUACAAGGAUGGACAAGAACGAGAGUAUGCGGGGUGAUCCCCUUCACAGAUAGCGCAACGGAUGGUGGAAUUGCAAGUGUCGGACGAGUGCUCAUUUGAUGCACAUUUUGCACAAGUAGUGCGCCCUCGGCAACUUUGAGAACCGUGCCCGAACCGCUGACACUUGAAGCAUCGGCGUGGGUUAGGAAUGUAUGGCCUUACACGGAGUUUGCAGUAUCCUGUUUCUAUUGAGUCUGAUUCGGCUGCCCGACACUCCAGGAGGACGUGGAGGACGGUCAGCCUUUCCCCGCAUCUACCGCAGGUUGGAGGAUCAUUUUCAGGUGCAGUACACCGGAUUCCGAGAAGGAUGGACCAAUGGCUGCGUAGGACACCCCGGC
RNAcentral lists this long non-coding RNA (537 nucleotides) under Dermacentor andersoni. Its description in RNAcentral is "uncharacterized LOC126539880". The record is from RNAcentral. Lineage: Eukaryota; Metazoa; Arthropoda; Arachnida; Ixodida; Ixodidae.